This is a non-coding RNA of Salmo salar (Atlantic salmon), 59 nucleotides long. The record is from Rfam. NCBI's taxonomy places the organism in Eukaryota, Metazoa, Chordata, Actinopteri, Salmoniformes, Salmonidae.
UGGCUCAGUUGGUAGAGCAUGGUGUUUGCUAAUGCCAGGGUUGUGGGUUCGAUUCCCAC